RNAcentral lists this ribosomal RNA (443 nucleotides) under uncultured bacterium. RNAcentral describes it as "partial 16S ribosomal RNA". It matches the Rfam family "Bacterial small subunit ribosomal RNA", at positions 338 to 795 of the family's 1533-position model. The record is from RNAcentral.
CCUACGGGUGGCUGCAGUGGGGAAUAUUGGGCAAUGGGCGCAAGCCUGACCCAGCAACGCCGCGUGAAGGAAGAAGGCUUUCGGGUUGUAAACUUCUUUUCUCAGGGACGAAGCAAGUGACGGUACCUGAGGAAUAAGCCACGGCUAACUACGUGCCAGCAGCCGCGGUAAUACGUAGGUGGCAAGCGUUAUCCGGAUUUACUGGGUGUAAAGGGCGUGUAGGCGGGGACGAAAGUCAGAUGUGAAAACCACGGGCUCAACCUGUGGGCUGCAUUUGAAACUGUGUUUCUUGAGUACUGGAGAGGGAGCCGGAAUGCCUGGUGUAGCAGUGAAAUGCGUAGAUAUUAGGAGGAACACCAGUGGCGAAGGCGGUCUGCUGGACAGCAACUGACGCUGAGGCGCGAAAGCGUGGGGAGCAAACAGGAUUAGAUACCCCGGUAGUC